CUACGGGACGCAGCAGUGGGGAAUAUUGCGCAAUGGGGGAAACCCUGACGCAGCAACGCCGCGUGAGUGAUGAAGGCUUUCGGGUCGUAAAGCUCUGUCAGGCGGGAAGAACAAGCUGGUUCCGAAUAAGGAUUGGCUUUGACGGUACCGCCAGAGGAAGCACCGGCUAACUCCGUGCCAGCAGCCGCGGUAAUACGGAGGGUGCAAGCGUUGUUCGGAAUUAUUGGGCGUAAAGCGCGUGUAGGCGGCUUGGUAAGUCAGGUGUGAAAGCCCUUGGCUCAACCAAGGAAUGUCAUCUGAAACUGCCAGGCUUGAGUACGGGAGAGGAGAGUGGAAUUCCCGGUGUAGAGGUGAAAUUCGUAGAUAUCGGGAGGAACACCCGUGGCGAAGGCGACUCUCUGGACCGAUACUGACGCUGAGACGCGAAAGCGUGGGGAGCAAACAGGAUUAGAUACCCGCGUAGUC
This 465-nucleotide ribosomal RNA is filed under the name uncultured bacterium. RNAcentral describes it as "partial 16S ribosomal RNA". It matches the Rfam family "Bacterial small subunit ribosomal RNA", at positions 339 to 795 of the family's 1533-position model. The record is from RNAcentral.